AUCCAGACCGACCCGCGGACACGUUUCACUACCCGGGACGGCCGAAACUGCCCGGCAGCUCGGCCUCCCCGAGCGUCGGGACGGAGCCACGCUCCUCGUCCCGGYGCAACAACAACAAACCCCGGCGCGGAAUGCGCCAAGGAAGCAAYAACCGUACAGCGCGCCCCGUCGGCCCGGCAACGGUGCCCGCACGGGGGACGUCGCAACACUCGAGUCCAAAACGACUCUCGGCAACGGAUAUCUCGGCUCUUGCAUCGAUGAAGAACGUAGCGAAAUGCGAUACUUGGUGUGAAUUGCAGAAUCCCGUGAACCAUCGAGUCUUUGAACGCAAGUUGCGCCCGAAGCCCGGUAACGGCCAAGGGCACGCCUGCCUGGGUGUCACCAAUCGCCGCCCCAGCCCCCGUGCCUCUGGCAACGGAGCGGGGCGAAUGCUGGCUUCCCGUGAGCACCGCCUCGCGGUUGGCUGAAAAUCGGGUUCGUGGCGGACGCAGUGCCAUGACAGACGGUGGCUGAGCAAGUUCUCGAGGCCAGUCGUGCGCGCGUGCGACCUCCCUACCCAGCAGUGACCCGCGGGCGACGKCGAUCGCCCAUGA
Molecule: unclassified non-coding RNA, 593 nt
Filed under: Dalbergia sp. 1 IH-2015
Lineage: Eukaryota; Viridiplantae; Streptophyta; Magnoliopsida; Fabales; Fabaceae
Description: partial contains ITS1, 5.8S rRNA and ITS2
Rfam family: 5.8S ribosomal RNA (bases 223-381)
Source: RNAcentral